AGCCGCGGUAAUACGUAGGGUGCGAGCGUUAAUCGGAAUUACUGGGCGUAAAGCGUGCGCAGGCGGUGCUGUAAGACAGGCGUGAAAUCCCCGGGCUCAACCUGGGAAUUGCGCUUGUGACUGCAGUGCUGGAGUACGGCAGAGGGGGAUGGAAUUCCGCGUGUAGCAGUGAAAUGCGUAGAUAUGCGGAGGAACACCGAUGGCGAAGGCAGUCCCCUGGGCCUGUACUGACGCUCAUGCACGAAAGCGUGGGGAGCAAACAGGAUUAGAUACCCUGGUAGUCCACGCCCUAAACGAUGUCAACUGGUUGUUGGGAAUUUACUUUCUCAGUAACGAAGCUAACGCGUGAAGUUGACCGCCUGGG
This 364-nucleotide ribosomal RNA is filed under the name uncultured bacterium. RNAcentral describes it as "bacterial SSU rRNA". It matches the Rfam family "Bacterial small subunit ribosomal RNA", at positions 513 to 877 of the family's 1533-position model. The record is from RNAcentral.